Non-coding RNA from Sus scrofa (pig), 72 nucleotides. Lineage: Eukaryota; Metazoa; Chordata; Mammalia; Artiodactyla; Suidae. The record is from Rfam.
UUCCAGGUGGUCUAGUGGUUAGGACUCAGUGCUUUCACUGCUAUGGCUUUGGUUCAGUCCCUGAUCUGGGAG